UACGUAGGUGGCAAGCGUUAUCCGGAAUUAUUGGGCGUAAAGCGCGCGCAGGCGGUUUCUUAAGUCUGAUGUGAAAGCCCACGGCUCAACCGUGGAGGGUUAUUGGAAACUGGGGAACUUGAGUGCAGAAGAGAAAAGCGGAAUUCCACGUGUAGCGGUGAAAUGCGUAGAGAUGUGGAGGAACACCAGUGGCGAAGGCGGCUUUUUGGUCUGUAACUGACGCUGAGGCGCGAAAGCGUGGGGAGCAAACAGG
RNAcentral lists this ribosomal RNA (253 nucleotides) under uncultured bacterium. Its description in RNAcentral is "partial 16S ribosomal RNA". It matches the Rfam family "Bacterial small subunit ribosomal RNA", at positions 524 to 776 of the family's 1533-position model. The record is from RNAcentral.